CCUACGGGUGGCUGCAGUCGAGAAUCAUUCACAAUGGGGGAAACCCUGAUGGUGCGACGCCGCGUGGGGGAAUGAAGGUCUUCGGAUUGUAAACCCCUGUCAUGUGGGAGCAAAUUAAAAAGAUAGUACCACAAGAGGAAGAGACGGCUAACUCUGUGCCAGCAGCCGCGGUAAUACAGAGGUCUCAAGCGUUGUUCGGAAUCACUGGGCGUAAGGCGUGCGUAGGCUGUUUCGUAAGUCGUGUGUGAAAGGCGCGGGCUCAACCCGCGGACGGCACAUGAUACUGCGAGACUAGAGUAAUGGAGGGGGAACCGGAAUUCUCGGUGUAGCAGUGAAAUGCGUAGAUAUCGAGAGGAACACUCGUGGCGAAGGCGGGUUCCUGGACAUUAACUGACGCUGAGGCACGAAGGCCAGGGGAGCGAAAGGGAUUAGAUAACCCAGUAGUC
This 446-nucleotide ribosomal RNA is filed under the name uncultured bacterium. RNAcentral's name for it is "partial 16S ribosomal RNA". It matches the Rfam family "Bacterial small subunit ribosomal RNA", at positions 338 to 795 of the family's 1533-position model. The record is from RNAcentral.